UACGAAGGGGGCUAGCGUUGCUCGGAAUGACUGGGCGUAAAGGGCGCGUAGGCGGUUUGGCCAGUCAGAUGUGAAAUUCCUGGGCUCAACCUGGGGGCUGCAUUUGAUACGUUCGGACUAGAGUGGGGAAGAGGGUCGUGGAAUUCCCAGUGUAGAGGUGAAAUUCGUAGAUAUUGGGAAGAACACCGGUGGCGGAGGCGGGUCUCUGGGCCGAUACUGACGCUGAGGAGCGAAAGCGUGGGGAGCAAACAGG
Molecule: ribosomal RNA, 253 nt
Filed under: uncultured bacterium
Lineage: Bacteria
Description: partial 16S ribosomal RNA
Rfam family: Bacterial small subunit ribosomal RNA
Source: RNAcentral